This 73-nucleotide transfer RNA is filed under the name Methanoplanus endosymbiosus. RNAcentral describes it as "tRNA-Gln". It matches the Rfam family "tRNA". From Rfam's summary of the family: Transfer RNA (tRNA) molecules are approximately 80 nucleotides in length. Their secondary structure includes four short double-helical elements and three loops (D, anti-codon, and T loops). Further hydrogen bonds mediate the characteristic L-shaped molecular structure. tRNAs have two regions of fundamental functional importance: the anti-codon, which is responsible for specific mRNA codon recognition, and the 3' end, to which the tRNAs corresponding amino acid is attached (by aminoacyl-tRNA synthetases). tRNAs cope with the degeneracy of the genetic code in two manners: having more than one tRNA (with a specific anti-codon) for a particular amino acid; and 'wobble' base-pairing, i.e. permitting non-standard base-pairing at the 3rd anti-codon position. Lineage: Archaea; Methanobacteriati; Methanobacteriota; Methanomicrobia; Methanomicrobiales; Methanomicrobiaceae. The record is from RNAcentral.
ACCCCUGUAGUGUAGCGGUCAAUCAUUCCAGCCUUUGGAGCUGGAAACGGCGGUUCGAAUCCGCCCAGGGGUA